GAUGAACGCUGGCGGCGUGCCUAAUACAUGCAAGUCGAGCGAACAGAUGAGGAGCUUGCUCCUCUGACGUUAGCGGCGGACGGGUGAGUAACACGUGGAUAACCUACCUAUAAGACUGGGAUAACUUCGGGAAACCGGAGCUAAUACCGGAUAAUAUAUUGAACCGCAUGGUUCAAUAGUGAAAGACGGUUUUGCUGUCACUUAUAGAUGGAUCCGCGCCGCAUUAGCUAGUUGGUAAGGUAACGGCUUACCAAGGCAACGAUGCGUAGCCGACCUGAGAGGGUGAGCGGCCACACGGGAACUGAGACACGGUCCAGACUCCUACGGGAGGCAGCAGUAGGGAAUCUUCCGCAAUGGGCGAAAGCCUGACGGAGCAACGCCGCGUGAGUGAUGAAGGUCUUCGGAUCGUAAAACUCUGUUAUUAGGGAAGAACAAAUGUGUAACUAACUAUGCACGUCUUGACGGUACCUAAUCAGAAAGCCACGGCUAACUACGUG
This 497-nucleotide ribosomal RNA is filed under the name uncultured bacterium. RNAcentral describes it as "partial 16S ribosomal RNA". It matches the Rfam family "Bacterial small subunit ribosomal RNA", at positions 28 to 507 of the family's 1533-position model. The record is from RNAcentral.